ACAGAGGAGCUUGCUCCUUGGGUGACGAGCGGCGGACGGGUGAGUAAAGUCUGGGGAUCUGCCUGAUGGAGGGGGAUAACUACUGGAAACGGUAGCUAAUACCGCAUGACGUCUUCGGACCAAAGUGGGGGACCUUCGGGCCUCACGCCAUGAGAUGAACCCAGAUGGGAUUAGCUGGUAGGUGAGGUAACGGCUCACCUAGGCGACGAUCCCUAGCUGGUCUGAGAGGAUGACCAGCCACACUGGAACUGAGACACGGUCCAGACUCCUACGGGAGGCAGCAGUGGGGAAUAUUGCACAAUGGGGGAAACCCUGAUGCAGCCAUGCCGCGUGUGUGAAGAAGGCCUUCGGGUUGUAAAGCACUUUCAGCGGGGAGGAAGGCAAUAAACUUAAUAAGUUUGUUGAUUGACGUUACCCGCAGAAGAAGCACCGGCUAACUCCGUGCCAGCAGCCGCGGUAAUACGGAGGGUGCAAGCGUUAAUCGGAAUGACUGGGCGUAAAGCGCACGCAGGCGGUCUGUUAAGUUGGAUGUGAAAUCCCCGGGCUCAACCCGGGAACAGCAUUCAAAACUGACAGGCUAGAGUCUCGUAGAGGGGGGUAGAAUUCCAGGUGUAGCGGUGAAAUGCGUAGAGAUCUGGAGGAAUACCGGUGGCGAAGGCGGCCCCCUGGACGAAGACUGACGCUCAGGUGCGAAAGCGUGGGGAGCAAACAGGAUUAGAUACCCUGGUAGUCCACGCCGUAAACGAUGUCGACUUGGAGGCUGUGGUCUUGAACCGUGGCUUCCGGAGCUAACGCGUUAAGUCGACCGCCUGGGGAGUACGGCCGCAAGGUUAAAACUCAAAUGAAUUGACGGGGGCCCGCACAAGCGGUGGAGCAUGUGGUUUAAUUCGAUGCAACGCGAAGAACCUUACCUACUCUUGACAUCCAGAGAAGACUGUAGAGAUACGGUUGUGCCUUCGGGAGCUCUGAGACAGGUGCUGCAUGGCUGUCGUCAGCUCGUGUUGUGAAAUGUUGGGUUAAGUCCCGCAACGAGCGCAACCCUUAUCCUUUGUUGCCAGCGAUACGGUCGGGAACUCAAAGGAGACUGCCGGUGAUAAACCGGAGGAAGGUGGGGAUGACGUCAAGUCAUCAUGGCCCUUACGAGUAGGGCUACACACGUGCUACAAUGGCGCAUACAAAGAGAAGCGAGCCUGCGAGGGUGAGCGGACCUCAUAAAGUGCGUCGUAGUCCGGAUUGGAGUCUGCAACUCGACUCCAUGAAGUCGGAAUCGCUAGUAAUCGUAGAUCAGAAUGCUACGGUGAAUACGUUCCCGGGCCUUGUACACACCGCCCGUCACACCAUGGGAGUGGGUUGCAAAAGAAGUAGGUAGCU
RNAcentral lists this ribosomal RNA (1371 nucleotides) under Brenneria salicis. RNAcentral's name for it is "bacterial SSU rRNA". It matches the Rfam family "Bacterial small subunit ribosomal RNA", at positions 70 to 1435 of the family's 1533-position model. The record is from RNAcentral. Lineage: Bacteria; Pseudomonadati; Pseudomonadota; Gammaproteobacteria; Enterobacterales; Pectobacteriaceae.